GAAGACCAAGGGUUCCUGUCCAACGUUAAUCGGGGCAGGGUGAGUCGACCCCUAAGGCGAGGCCGAAAGGCGUAGUCGAUGGGAAACAGGUUAAUAUUCCUGUACUUGGUGUUACUGCGAAGGGGGGACGGAGAAGGCUAUGUUGGCCGGGCGACGGUUGUCCCGGUUUAAGCGUGUAGGCUGGUUUUCCAGGCAAAUCCGGAAAAUCAAGGCUGAGGCGUGAUGACGAGGCACUACGGUGCUGAAGCAACAAAUGCCCUGCUUCCAGGAAAAGCCUCUAAGCAUCAGGUAACAUCAAAUCGUACCCCAAACCGACACAGGUGGUCAGGUAGAGAAUACCAAGGCGCUUGAGAGAACUCGGGUGAAGGAACUAGGCAAAAUGGUGCCGUAACUUCGGGAGAAGGCACGCUGAUAUGUAGGUGAAGUCCCUCGCGGAUGGAGCUGAAAUCAGUCGAAGAUACCAGCUGGCUGCAACUGUUUAUUAAAAACACAGCACUGUGCAAACACGAAAGUGGACGUAUACGGUGUGACGCCUGCCCGGUGCCGGAAGGUUAAUUGAUGGGGUCAGCGCAAGCGAAGCUCUUGAUCGAAGCCCCGGUAAACGGCGGCCGUAACUAUAACGGUCCUAAGGUAGCGAAAUUCCUUGUCGGGUAAGUUCCGACCUGCACGAAUGGCGUAAUGAUGGCCAGGCUGUCUCCACCCGAGACUCAGUGAAAUUGAACUCGCUGUGAAGAUGCAGUGUACCCGCGGCAAGACGGAAAGACCCCGUGAACCUUUACUAUAGCUUGACACUGAACAUUGAGCCUUGAUGUGUAGGAUAGGUGGGAGGCUUUGAAGUGUGGACGCCAGUCUGCAUGGAGCCGACCUUGAAAUACCACCCUUUAAUGUUUGAUGUUCUAACGUGGACCCGUGAUCCGGGUUGCGGACAGUGUCUGGUGGGUAGUUUGACUGGGGCGGUCUCCUCCUAAAGAGUAACGGAGGAGCACGAAGGUUGGCUAAUCCUGGUCGGACAUCAGGAGGUUAGUGCAAUGGCAUAAGCCAGCUUGACUGCGAGCGUGACGGCGCGAGCAGGUGCGAAAGCAGGUCAUAGUGAUCCGGUGGUUCUGAAUGGAAGGGCCAUCGCUCAACGGAUAAAAGGUACUCCGGGGAUAACAGGCUGAUACCGCCCAAGAGUUCAUAUCGACGGCGGUGUUUGGCACCUCGAUGUCGGCUCAUCACAUCCUGGGGCUGAAGUAGGUCCCAAGGGUAUGGCUGUUCGCCAUUUAAAGUGGUACGCGAGCUGGGUUUAGAACGUCGUGAGACAGUUCGGUCCCUAUCUGCCGUGGGCGCUGGAGAACUGAGGGGGGCUGCUCCUAGUACGAGAGGACCGGAGUGGACGCAUCACUGGUGUUCGGGUUGUCAUGCCAAUGGCACUGCCCGGUAGCUAAAUGCGGAAGAGAUAAGUGCUGAAA
This 1451-nucleotide ribosomal RNA is filed under the name Escherichia coli. Its description in RNAcentral is "partial 23S ribosomal RNA". It matches the Rfam family "Bacterial large subunit ribosomal RNA", at positions 1340 to 2776 of the family's 2925-position model. The record is from RNAcentral. Lineage: Bacteria; Pseudomonadati; Pseudomonadota; Gammaproteobacteria; Enterobacterales; Enterobacteriaceae.